AUACGUAGGGGACAAGCGUUGUCCGGAAUGACUGGGCGUAAAGGGCGCGUAGGCGGUCUAUUAAGUCUGAUGUGAAAGGUACCGGCUCAACCGGUGAAGUGCAUUGGAAACUGGUAGACUUGAGUAUUGGAGAGGCAAGUGGAAUUCCUAGUGUAGCGGUGAAAUGCGUAGAUAUUAGGAGGAACACCAGUGGCGAAGGCGGCUUGCUGGACAAAUACUGACGCUGAGGUGCGAAAGCGUGGGGAGCGAACAGGAUUAGAUACCCUGGAAGUCCACGCCGUAAACGAUGAAUGCUAGGUGUUGGGGAAACUCAGUGCCGCAGUUAACACGAUAAGCAUACCGCCUGGGGAGUACGGUCGCAUGAUUGAAACUCAAAUGAAUUGGCGGGG
RNAcentral lists this ribosomal RNA (389 nucleotides) under uncultured bacterium. RNAcentral's name for it is "partial 16S ribosomal RNA". It matches the Rfam family "Bacterial small subunit ribosomal RNA", at positions 523 to 918 of the family's 1533-position model. The record is from RNAcentral.